GACGAACGCUGGCGGCGUGCCUAAUACAUGCAAGUCGAGCGCAGGAAAUCGACGGAACCCUUCGGGGGGAAGUCGACGGAAUGAGCGGCGGACGGGUGAGUAACACGUAAAGAACCUGCCCUCAGGUCUGGGAUAACCACGAGAAAUCGGGGCUAAUACCGGAUGGGUCAUCGGACCGCAUGGUCCGAGGAUGAAAGGCGCUUCGGCGUCGCCUGGGGAUGGCUUUGCGGUGCAUUGGCUAGUUGGGGGGGUAAUGGGCCACCAAGGCGACGAUGCAUAGCCGACCUGAGAGGGUGAUCGGCCACACUGGGACUGGGACACGGCCCAGACUCCUACGGGAGUCAGCAGUAGGGAAUCUUCCACAAUGGACGAAAGUCUGAUGGAGCAACGCCGCGUGAGGGAUGAAGGCCUUCGGGUCGUAAAGUUCUGUUGUAAGGGAAGAACAAGUGCCGCAGGCAAUGGCGGCACCUUGACGGUACCUUGCGAGAAAGCCACGGCUAACUACGUGCCAGCAGCCGCCGUAA
Molecule: ribosomal RNA, 524 nt
Filed under: uncultured bacterium
Lineage: Bacteria
Description: partial 16S ribosomal RNA
Rfam family: Bacterial small subunit ribosomal RNA
Source: RNAcentral